RNAcentral lists this long non-coding RNA (373 nucleotides) under Setaria viridis. Its description in RNAcentral is "long non-coding RNA (SVIR_LNC000830)". The record is from RNAcentral. Lineage: Eukaryota; Viridiplantae; Streptophyta; Magnoliopsida; Poales; Poaceae.
CCAUAGCAGCAUGCCAAUUCAAUCCGCUUUACUAGGCCAAACUCGCUGAAAACAGUAAUUCAUUUUUUUUAAAAUCACAUCCUUAAAUAGAAAAUGGCCGUAGAAAUUUCCAUAAAUAAAAUAAAAAUAGCAGCACACAUAGUUCACAACAUAUUAGUAUCGACGAACAUAUAUAUUUAUAUAUAGGACGACAUAUAUCAAUAUAAUAACCAUCGAAAAAUUAGUUUUGUGUUUUCUAUCACACUCCAAACAAGCUCCCACAUAUGGGUAUUGCUCAUCAGAAUCUUCAAUUGCAUAUCUAUAAUAUCUAUACAAGGAGAGCGACCAACUCUAAAGCUCACCUCUCAACCAUCCACAUCACCCCCUACCCGGC